GAUGAACGCUAGCUACAGGCUUAACACAUGCAAGUCGAGGGGAAACGGCAUCGAAAGCUUGCUUUUGAUGGGCGUCGACCGGCGCACGGGUGAGUAACGCGUAUCCAACCUGCCCAUCACUUGGGAAUAACCUUGCGAAAGUAAGACUAAUGCCCAAUGACAUCCCACGAAGGCAUCCGAAUGGGAUUAAAGAUUUAUCGGUGAUGGAUGGGGAUGCGUCUGAUUAGCUUGUUGGCGGGGUGACGGCCCACCAAGGCAACGAUCAGUAGGGGUUCUGAGAGGAAGGUCCCCCACAUUGGAACUGAGACACGGUCCAAACUCCUACGGGAGGCAGCAGUGAGGAAUAUUGGUCAAUGGGAGAGAGCCUGAACCAGCCAAGUAGCGUGCAGGAUGACGGCCCUAUGGGUUGUAAACUGCUUUUAUAAGGGAAUAAAGUGGGUCACGUGUGACUUUUUGCAUGUACCUUAUGAAUAAGGACCGGCUAAUUCCGUG
Molecule: ribosomal RNA, 492 nt
Filed under: uncultured bacterium
Lineage: Bacteria
Description: partial 16S ribosomal RNA
Rfam family: Bacterial small subunit ribosomal RNA
Source: RNAcentral